GGCGGGGUGGGGUGCCCGAUGCGGCACCCGCACAAGCUGAGACUGAACGGAUCAGACUGAAACGCUCGACGGUGACAGUGAAGGUUCGAGUCCUUCCCCCGCGACCA
Molecule: transfer RNA, 107 nt
Filed under: Catenuloplanes nepalensis
Lineage: Bacteria; Bacillati; Actinomycetota; Actinomycetes; Micromonosporales; Micromonosporaceae
Description: tRNA-Phe
Source: RNAcentral